RNAcentral lists this ribosomal RNA (501 nucleotides) under uncultured bacterium. RNAcentral describes it as "partial 16S ribosomal RNA". It matches the Rfam family "Bacterial small subunit ribosomal RNA", at positions 30 to 523 of the family's 1533-position model. The record is from RNAcentral.
AUUGAACGCUGGCGGCAGGCUUAACACAUGCAAGUCGAGCGGAGAGAGGUAGCUUGCUACUGAUCUUAGCGGCGGACGGGUGAGUAAUGCUUAGGAAUCUGCCUAUUAGUGGGGGACAACGUUUCGAAAGGAACGCUAAUACCGCAUACGUCCUACGGGAGAAAGCAGGGGAUCUUCGGACCUUGCGCUAAUAGAUGAGCCUAAGUCGGAUUAGCUAGGUGGUGGGGUAAAGGCCUACCAAGGCGACGAUCUGUAGCGGGUCUGAGAGGACGAUGGGCCACACUGGGACUGAGACACGGCCCAGACUCCUACGGGAGGCAGCAGUGGGGAAUAUUGGACAAUGGGCGGAAGCCUGAUCCAGCCAUGCCGCGUGUGUGAAGAAGGUCUUUGGGUUGUAAAUCACUUUAAGCGAAGAGGAAGAGCUCUAGGUUAAUCCCCUAGAAGCUUGGACGUUACUCGCAGAAUAAGCACCGGCUAACUCUGUGCCAGCAGCCGCCGUAA